This is a long non-coding RNA of Macadamia integrifolia, 1361 nucleotides long. RefSeq lists it as uncharacterized. The record is from RefSeq and is a predicted model, not a curated record. The transcript has 2 exons. NCBI's taxonomy places the organism in Eukaryota, Viridiplantae, Streptophyta, Magnoliopsida, Proteales, Proteaceae.
UCUUCAACUUCAUAAUCUCUCCCCACUCCAUAACUAAGACAGCAGCCCCUCCCAAGCCAUCCUUUCCAACUCUCUUUCUUCUUUAUUCCGAGACCCUCCCCACCCCAUUGUGCACACUCUAAUCAUAACCAAGAACACAUUCCACCCACUUUCUCUCCAUAUCACUCACCACUCUCACAACACCAUCCAAGCCUCUUUUCCCUCUCCCACUUCAUUCUCUCUCCCUACCCAUUGAAACUCUCACACUCUCUUCCUCCUUAGACAUGUGAGGCAAGAAGCAAAAAAGGAAGAAAAAUGGAGAAAAGAAAAAUGCUAUUAGAAGUAGGAGGAGAAAAGAAAAGAGGAUCACACAAGCAAUUGUUCAAAUUGCUUGGAAUGGGUGGACUCGGCAAUUCGGUAAGGCCAUACAAAUUAAAUCAACCUAUGAUAUAAUCUGUACAUCUAGUUAUUUUAGGAAUAAUAAUUAAAAAUGGAAUUUUUUUACAGGUUAGAUCGAAAUUGUUUGGAAAACCAUGCAAAAUAUCUUCAGUCGUUAUCUUAAUUCCUUAAUUUCUCAUUGAUUGCACCAUGUAGCUUUGACGGAUUGUUUAUGAUUUUUAGUUAUAGAUUUAUUGUUAUCAUAGCGUACUGAUCAAUGAAGGUACAAGUGUUCUCUGGUAUAAGAAAUAAAUUUAGAUCAACACUUGCACAUAUAUGAACUAUGCUUAGACAGUAGUCACAUUCUUCAACUUAUUUGUAAUGCUUGCAGUAUCCAUCUGAAGCCUCGUUUCAAAGUUUCCUCAUUUUGAUGCACAGGUUGAGAUUAGCACUUAAAUUCUUUUCAAAGGGUAUACUGAGGGGAGAACAUAUCAUAACUCCUUGCCGGAGAUGCUCAAGCUUAAGGACUGGCUCCCAUCUGAUACAUUUGAUUGAUCUGAGAAGUGGCUAUUAUCUGAUUAGAAUCUGACCAGGGAAUGAAUUUGUGUCAUUUGUGAUUUGGAUUUUUCUGUUUCUUUCCCGUCGUUCCAUCUUCCUCUCUCAUUUGUUUUUAUGUAAUAUGAGGUUUAGUACCUGCAGCUGGCAAAUUGUGCAUGUAAACUUAAAGCCUGUUUGUGUUGGUCAAGUAAAAUUUCAGGUACGUUGUCUUGAAAGUGUGUUUUUUUUUUUUUUUUUAACGUGGGUGAUUGUAGCCGAGAUUGGAUCAGGUUCAUUUACGAGGUUCUUCAUUUAAUAGAUUGUAAAUCCAUGAACAAAGGUGUACGAGAUUAUUCUCAUACGUGAACCUGAUCCGAAUUCGUUGUAGCUUUCUAGGUGGUGUUUAAUGGCUUUAUUGUUUUGUCCACGGAUGAAGAAACAAUAAAUUGCUCUCACGUUCUCGUUAA